RNAcentral lists this long non-coding RNA (1301 nucleotides) under Monodelphis domestica (gray short-tailed opossum). RNAcentral's name for it is "lncRNA (ENSMODG00000051154.1)". The record is from RNAcentral. Lineage: Eukaryota; Metazoa; Chordata; Mammalia; Didelphimorphia; Didelphidae.
GUCCCUGCCCUUGAGGAGCUCCUAAUCUAAUCAGGGAGACAGAUAACAUGCAAGUAACUAUCCAAACAAGCUAGAUAACAGGAUACAUUGAAAAUCUGAUGUGGCAGAUGGAAACAAGAGUAGGUAAUGGAAGAUGAAUAAAAAUGUUUUGGGAAGGUCCUGUAACAAUAGUGUCCAGAAUGCUAAAGCUCAGAAUGGGUGGAAUCUGACCAAUCUGAUCAAUCUGACUGGGAGUACAAAAGGAGGUCGAGCUCUGGAUGCUCUGGACACUGACCCCUGGGAGAGCCACCAAGCUAGAUGAUGACUUCAAGGAACAAAAGAAUUUGGGGGACCUCUGUACCAUUUGGGGGAAAUCCAGGGGCAGGGAAAGAUGAUUGACAUCACUAUAGCUACAAAGAAAAUGGGAGUGUUCAGACUAUACAGACAGAAUACCAUCAAGGUGAGAAAAGAAUCAUAGCUAGAGGUUAAGGUGUAAGGGAAGGGCUGCUUACCAUGGAUACCUGCCCAAUGUGGGUCUUCUUGGGAAAGGGUGUCUGAUACAACAGUGAAGACUACCUAAGACAAAAAGGGUCCUUAGCAUAUGCAUAGUCCCACCUAACCAGAAUCAAUAUUUACCUUAGGGUCCAUUAUUCAGUCUGGAACUGCUAGUCUGAGAUUCCCUUCAGGGUGGAUUCUCACAGGAACAAGUACAAGCUUUGGGGUCUCCAACUUACAAGCUAGUCCCAAGAGUUGGGGUUCAUCAGAUCUUACUAGGCUACAAGUUUGGGGUUUCUAGAUUCCAUGUUGACACCCUGACAAGCCACUCAACCUCAAUUGCUUAGCUCUUACUACUCUUCCUCCUUGAAACUGAUACCUAGCAUUGAUUCUAAAAUGGAAGGUAAGGAUUAAAACCAUCUUUUUUUAGGGGAACCUGAAAGUUGGCCAGUCCUGAAAGCAACUAAUCCAGUUUGACAGUUCCAGAGAGCCCCAAAUCAGAAUGGCUUUGUGGCAUGUGACCCCCUAUGCUCAUACCAGAGGGCAGUGUUGUGGGGAGGGGAAUAGGGAGAGAGCUUUCUUUCUCACCUCCCUCCCUCACAGGAUAUGGUAUCUGGAAAUAGAGCUAUGCAACCAAUGGGGUAUAAGAGUGUUCAGGGAGGACUAGUGUCCCUUCAGGGGUGCUCAUCCUCCUUUGCCAGUAGCUCUCAGCAGUGGUUCCAAGAGGCUGCAGCAUGUACAGUGGCCACAUCCCAGUAAAAGCAUCUCAGCCCGUGGAGGAUAACUGAUAGCCCUCAAACCCAUUAAUAAGUUAGGGAGAUGUCUAC